UGCAGUCGAGCGGAUUACCCUUCGGGAAAGUUAGCGGCGGACGGGUGAGUCCACGUAGGUAACCUGCCUAUAAGACUGGGAUAACUAUCGGAAACGAUAGCUAAGACCGGAUAACUGGUUUUCUCGCAUGAGAGAAUUAUGAAACACGGAGCAAUCUGUGGCUUAUAGAUGGGCCUGCGGCGCAUUAGCUAGUUGGUAGGGUAACGGCCUACCAAGGCGACGAUGCGUAGCCGACCUGAGAGGGUGAACGGCCACACUGGGACUGAGACACGGCCCAGACUCCUACGGGAGGCAGCAGUAGGGAAUCUUCCGCAAUGGACGCAAGUCUGACGGAGCAACGCCGCGUGAGUGAUGAAGGUUUUCGGAUCGUAAAGCUCUGUUGCCCUAGACGAACAGCAAGGAGAGUAACUGCUCUUUGUGUGACGGUAUAGGAGAAGAAAGCCCCGGCUAACUACGUGCCAGCAGCCGCGGUAAUACGUAGGGGGCAAGCGUUGUCCGGAAUUAUUGGGCGUAAAGCGCGCGCAGGCGGUCAAUUAAGUUGGGUGUUUAAGCCCGGGGCUCAACCCCGGUUCGCAUCCAAAACUGGUUGACUUGAGUGUAGGAGAGGAAAGUGGAAUUCCACGUGUAGCGGUGAAAUGCGUAGAGAUGUGGAGGAACACCAGUGGCGAAGGCGACUUUCUGGCCUAUAACUGACGCU
RNAcentral lists this ribosomal RNA (697 nucleotides) under uncultured bacterium. Its description in RNAcentral is "bacterial SSU rRNA". It matches the Rfam family "Bacterial small subunit ribosomal RNA", at positions 56 to 747 of the family's 1533-position model. The record is from RNAcentral.